GAUGAACGCUGGCGGCGUGCUUAACACAUGCAAGUCGAACGGAAAGGCCAGUGCUUGCGCUGGUACUCGAGUGGCGAACGGGUGAGUAACACGUGGGUGAUCUGCCCUGCACUUCGGGAUAAGCUUGGGAAACUGGGUCUAAUACCGGAUAGGACCAUUGGUUGGUGCCUUUGGUGGAAAGUUUUUUCGGUGUGGGAUGAGCUCGCGGCCUAUCAGCUUGUUGGUGGGGUAAUGGCCUACCAAGGCGUCGACGGGUAGCCGGCCUGAGAGGGUGUACGGCCACAUUGGGACUGAGAUACGGCCCAGACUCCUACGGGAGGCAGCAGUGGGGAAUAUUGCACAAUGGGCGCAAGCCUGAUGCAGCGACGCCGCGUGGGGGAUGACGGCCUC
This 390-nucleotide ribosomal RNA is filed under the name uncultured bacterium. RNAcentral's name for it is "bacterial SSU rRNA". It matches the Rfam family "Bacterial small subunit ribosomal RNA", at positions 28 to 418 of the family's 1533-position model. The record is from RNAcentral.